UGGGGAAUUUUCCGCAAUGGGCGCAAGCCUGACGGAGCAAUACCGCGUGAGGGAAGAAGGUUCUUGGAUUGUAAACCUCUUUUCUCAAGGAAGAAAAAAAUGACGGUACUUGAGGAAUCAGCAUCGGCUAACUCCGUGCCAGCAGCCGCGGUAAUACGGAGGAUGCAAGCGUUAUCCGGAAUUAUUGGGCGUAAAGCGUCCGCAGGUGGCAUUUCAAGUCUGCUGUCAAAGACUAGAGCUUAACUCUGGGUAGGCAGUGGAAACUGGAAAGCUAGAGUCCGGUAGGGGUAGAAGGAAUUCCCAGUGUAGCGGUGAAAUGCGUAGAGAUUGGGAAGAACACCAGUGGCGAAAGCGUUCUACUGGACCGGAACUGACACUCAGGGACGAAAGCUAGGGUAGCGAAAG
This 405-nucleotide ribosomal RNA is filed under the name uncultured cyanobacterium. Its description in RNAcentral is "partial 16S ribosomal RNA". It matches the Rfam family "Bacterial small subunit ribosomal RNA", at positions 355 to 774 of the family's 1533-position model. Lineage: Bacteria; Bacillati; Cyanobacteriota. The record is from RNAcentral.